UAACUCAUACCUUUCUCGGCCUUUUGGCUAAGAUCAAGUGUAGUAUCUGUUCUUAUCAGUUUAAUAUCUGAUAUGUGGGCCAUCGGCCCACACGAUAUUAACUCUAUUUUUUAAGGGAGAAAGCCCGUUAAGAUAGCUUGCUAUCUAGGCUUUCACGAGUCCCCCA
RNAcentral lists this small nuclear RNA (166 nucleotides) under Arabidopsis thaliana (thale cress). Its description in RNAcentral is "ATSL191170". It matches the Rfam family "U2 spliceosomal RNA", at positions 1 to 157 of the family's 192-position model. Rfam says of the family: U2 is a small nuclear RNA (snRNA) component of the spliceosome (involved in pre-mRNA splicing). Complementary binding between U2 snRNA (in an area lying towards the 5' end but 3' to hairpin I) and the branchpoint sequence (BPS) of the intron results the bulging out of an unpaired adenosine, on the BPS, which initiates a nucleophilic attack at the intronic 5' splice site, thus starting the first of two transesterification reactions that mediate splicing. Lineage: Eukaryota; Viridiplantae; Streptophyta; Magnoliopsida; Brassicales; Brassicaceae. The record is from RNAcentral.